AUGCCGCCGGCGCCCGCGGGAACCCGGCACAGCCGCGCACGUCGCGCCAUGGGAGCGUCUCACGGGAAGAAGGUAACAAGGGGGCCGUUGCACGCGCCGCUGCGGAGCGGCAGCGAGGGCGCCGGGCUCACGUGCUGCUCGCCUGGCCCUCCGCGUGCUAAGCCGGCUCGUCGCGCAGCCAGGGAUUACAGGGCAGGGACGCGCUCGCGGACGCAGGUGUCGGAUGUUGUCGGUGAGAUUAAGGAACGCCGCCCGGGCGGAGGGGCCCCGCCGGGGGUGGCAAAGGGUUGGGGUGGGAAAGGCAGGGUUUGGCUUUCUGCUGCGGCCGGGCCGCGCGCGACGGCGGCGGAUGCGGGGAGCAAGGACGGGGCUGCCGGGACACUGUCGGUGCUGAGCCCGCAGCCCGGCCACCGUCUCCGUCCCCCCCAUCGCCGCAUUCCCGCUUCCGACUGGCUCGGGCGGAGGGUGAGCGAGUUCCCCUGUGGCUCCGGCCUCUUCCCUUCCGGCACGCGCUCCGGCACAAAUUGCAUCUCUGGCCAAUCUCCACCGCGAGAAACACCCCAGAGGUCCCAGCUAAGGGAAUCGUCCCCCCGCUCGGGCACCUCCCUCCACCGCGAGCUGCCUGCCCGCGUCCCAGGCCCUGGGAAGCGCCCCAUAAUUCCCCCAAGCAUUCCCGGGCCUGGGAAUCGCUGCCAGCUCCCUCCCCAGGGAGGCCCUGCGGUGCUCGAGGGCUUCUCCCUCUCCCCCAAACCCCCCAAGGAGCACGAGCCCUCAUGCAGCCCCAGAAGGAAACGGUGCAUUAAGGAGUCAGAGCCGUGGAGAGAGGCUAUAGAUAGUUACACCUGGGAGUUAGACGUCAUUUUGCUUUUAUGCCCGAUGAAAUCAGUGCCUGGGGAUAACAUCACCUCUGUACGGUGGCGCUGCCCUGAACGGACACUAGUGUCUUCUGCACCUCGUCCCCCCACUCUUUCCUUGGCAGAACGGCACUUGUGCACCACGCUAGGUCAGGGAAAACUGAUGGCUCUUGCUGUUCAAGUUUGA
Molecule: long non-coding RNA, 1041 nt
Filed under: Apteryx haastii (Great spotted kiwi)
Lineage: Eukaryota; Metazoa; Chordata; Aves; Apterygiformes; Apterygidae
Description: lncRNA (ENSAHAG00000008406.1)
Source: RNAcentral